This 558-nucleotide ribosomal RNA is filed under the name uncultured bacterium. RNAcentral describes it as "bacterial SSU rRNA". It matches the Rfam family "Bacterial small subunit ribosomal RNA", at positions 102 to 694 of the family's 1533-position model. The record is from RNAcentral.
ACGGGUGAGUAACGCGUGGGAAUGUACCCUUUAGUUCAGAAUAACUACGGGAAACUGUAGCUAAUACUGGAUACGCCCUUUUUGGGGAAAGAUUUAUCGCUAAAGGAACAGCCCGCGUUAGAUUAGGUAGUUGGUGAGGUAACGGCUCACCAAGCCGACGAUCUAUAGCUGGUUUGAGAGGAUGAUCAGCCACACUGGGACUGAGACACGGCCCAGACUCCUACGGGAGGCAGCAGUGGGGAAUAUUGGACAAUGGGGGCAACCCUGAUCCAGCAAUACCGCGUGAGUGAAGAAGGCCUUCGGGUUGUAAAGCUCUUUUACCGGGGAAGAUGAUGACGGUACCCGGGGAAUAAGCUCCGGCUAACUUCGUGCCAGCAGCCGCGGUAAUACGAAGGGAGCUAGCGUUGUUCGGAAUUACUGGGCGUAAAGGGCGCGUAGGCGGCCUUAUAAGUCAGAUGUGAAAGCCCCGGGCUUAACCUGGGAACUGCAUUUGAUACUGCAAGGCUAGAGAUCGAGAGAGGAAAGUGGAAUUACGAGUGUAGAAGUGAAAUUCGUAGA